Anas platyrhynchos (mallard) is the source of this 2093-nucleotide non-coding RNA. NCBI's taxonomy places the organism in Eukaryota, Metazoa, Chordata, Aves, Anseriformes, Anatidae. The record is from RefSeq and is a predicted model, not a curated record.
AGGUAUUCACUAAAAAAAGAACCAGCAACAUAAGUACUAAUCACUCAGCACAGGUACAAGUAUUCUUCAAGGAAUUGCUUUUGACAGACUACCAAUACCACCUAGCUCCUUAUGUCUGCAGUAUUUCAGCAAUCACCUUCUAAGUACAAGUAAAAUCAGGACUUGUCUCCGCUCGGUUUUCUGAAGGUAUAAAAGGUAACAAACAAGAGGAUACAUGAGAGGAGAAGAAAGAGCAAACCUGUCUUAUGAGAUGGCUCUUACCUUUGAUCAAUCUUAUUUUCUAUCAUGUAAACAUUAUAAUAUCCAAACAACAUAAAAUAUUAUAAAUAUAGUAACUUGAGUCAGAGGACUCAGAAAUGAGGAGUCAGCUGCAUAAACUAAAGAAAGGCAUACUUUUUUUCUGUGUUAAAUACUCAAUAGGACUAUCCCACCAUCACAAAUUUAUUUUUAUGCUCAGGGUAUUAAAUACGGGCAAAAUAGAUUAACAGAUAUCUGUAACGCCCCUUCUGUCACAAGCUGUUGCAGGUUUUCUCUUUUCUCUGAUGAAGAAGAACCUGUUCUGACUUUGGAUAGUUAAAACAGUUGAGCAGCUCAAAGAAGAAUUAAGUGCGUGCAGCCAGCAUGUCUGUGGCAGGAGGUAUUAUAAUGCCAGUUAACUGAAAAAAAAAGUUCUACUUUUUGCUGGCAACUUCCUGUCUCACUGGCUCUGGUUUAGUUUCCAAGGACAUCAAUACAGAAAGGUGCUGAUCUUUCUGAGUAUUUUUUUUUAUUAGGUGAUAUAAAAGCAAUGCAGAACUAGAUGAUGUCAUUCAUUUCUUGCUGAUGCAUGAUUGCAUGAUGUCUUAUCAUCCCUACUAACGACUUUACAAAGAUAUUAAGAAGAAAGAUGAGUGGUAGGUGAAAAAUUGUAUAACUCUAUAAGAAUAGGAUUUGAAUUCAGAUGGGGCAGAAAAAUCUGCGUUUUCAAGUGAAUUUUUGACAUCCCCUUAUUAUUAAAAUAUAAAAAGCAGAAUGGGGCUUUCCCAAAAUACUGGAAUAUAUAUAAAUAUUUUACUUUUUUUUUUUUUUUUUUUUUAAUUUUGCACACGGUAAAAGAAAAGAUGAGAGUGCUAGAAAAUUCAGUGCUGAAUAGAGACAAGUGGUGUGAAAAAAAAAUGAGAUGGCAUUCAAUACUUAACUUCCAAUUAUCCCUGUUAGAGUUCUAAAAAUCUCAGGAAUUUUUCAUGAACACAAAGAUGCCUUCUGAGAUUAAGCUCUCAUGCAGGCUUCCUAAAUUUCUUGUUGUUUUUUUCCUACAUUUCUCAACAGGCAAGCCUCUCAUUUUGUGAAAUGGACACACAAUUACAAAUGUGUGUUUAAAUGAAAACAAAUUAAUAAACCAUGGGGUUGUGAAAUUAAUUGCAUGAAACUUAGUCAGAUAUAAGACUUAGUAAGGAGGGCAGCUAAGAUGUUUGCUUAUGGGUACAGAAAGAUGUAGCUUGUUGUUUGUUAGCUUCCUGAUUAAUUAGCAAAACAAAGAAACAACAACAACAACAAAACAACAAACAAUGGCAACAAACAAACAGAAUUUUCCUAGCCCAAUGCAGGAAUGGUAGUUACAGUCACAUGCUGGCUAAUGCAGUCACCAGCCACAAAGGACAGAUGGCAGUCUCUGAGGAUGCAUUUGUACAGAAAGAGAAAUCAUCACCUCUGGAGUUUUUAGGUGAAAGAGAAAGAUGGGAGAAAAACAAUAAAGUGUCUGUUUCUGAGAUUGUAAAACCUGACAUGUCCAUCCCAAAACAAUAAUAAUAACUUGCUUUUCCUCUUACCAUUGGUUGGUGGCACCUGGUUCUUUCUUGACCUGUGAUCAUAUAGCAUUUAAUUCCUGUUUCACACAAGUUUACAGAACCACAGAAGCUUGUGGUGAAUCACCACCAGGGUGCUUUAUGGAAACAGCUUUCUGUCCGUUGAGAGCUCAAAGCUUUCCAUUGAACUAAGCAUGUAACAUCCAUAUAUCCAAAGGGGGAAAAAAAAAAAAAAAGUAAUAUUUGCCAAUUCUGUUAUUAUAAAAAAUGUGUGCUUUUCAGAGUUGGCAUGAUGUGACUUAUUAUUAA